GACGAACGCUGGCGGCGUGCUUAACACAUGCAAGUCGAACGGAAAGGCCCUGCUUUUGUGGGGUUCUCGAGUGGCGAACGGGUGAGUAACACGUGAGUAACCUGCCCUUGACUGUCUGAUAACUUUAGGGAACUGGGGCUAAUACCGGAUAGGAGCUCCUGAUCCAUGGUGUUGGUUGGAAAGAUUCGGCGGUUGUGGCUGGUCUAGCGGCUUAUCAGCUUGUUUGUGGGGUUGUUGCUUACAAAGGCUUUGACGGGUAGCCGGCCUGAGAGGGUUGCCGGCGACAUUGGGACUGAGGUACGGCGCAGACGCGUACGGGAGGCAGCAGGGGGGAAUAUGGCAGAACGAGCGGACGCCUGUUGCAGAGACCCCGGGUGCGGGAUGACCUGCUUCGGGUGGUGAACCGCUUUCGCAUGUGAUGAAGCGGGCGUGACGGUAAUGGGUAAAGAAGCAACGGCUAACUACGUG
RNAcentral lists this ribosomal RNA (468 nucleotides) under uncultured bacterium. RNAcentral's name for it is "partial 16S ribosomal RNA". It matches the Rfam family "Bacterial small subunit ribosomal RNA", at positions 28 to 507 of the family's 1533-position model. The record is from RNAcentral.